This 499-nucleotide ribosomal RNA is filed under the name uncultured bacterium. RNAcentral describes it as "bacterial SSU rRNA". It matches the Rfam family "Bacterial small subunit ribosomal RNA", at positions 28 to 517 of the family's 1533-position model. The record is from RNAcentral.
GAUGAACGCUAGCGGCAGGCCUAACACAUGCAAGUCGAGGGGCAGCACGAUUGAAGCUUGCUUCAAUUGGUGGCGACCGGCGCACGGGUGCGUAACGCGUAUGUAACCUACCUUAUACAGGGGCAUAACACUGAGAAAUUGGUACUAAUUCCCCAUAACACUUUAGAGGGCAUCCUUUAGAGUUAAAAGUUCCGGCGGUAUAAGAUGGACAUGCGUUGUAUUAGCUAGUUGGUGAGGUAACGGCUCACCAAGGCGACGAUACAUAGGGGGACUGAGAGGUUAACCCCCCACAUUGGUACUGAGACACGGACCAAACUCCUACGGGAGGCAGCAGUGAGGAAUAUUGGUCAAUGGACGCAAGUCUGAACCAGCCAUGCCGCGUGCAGGAUGACGGCUCUACGAGUUGUAAACUGCUUUUGUACGAGGGUAAACCUAGAUACGUGUAUCUAGCUGAAAGUACCGUACGAAUAAGGAUCGGCUAACUCCGUGCCAGCAGCCG